GGAUGUUAGGGUUAUCUAGCUGUGACAUCUUUCACCCCACUGAUUGCCAGGAUUAAUUGGCUAAUCUGGCUGGCUAAGCAGGUGUUGCCUUCCUCUCUCACUAGUCAAUGUGUAUCCCCCGUGAAGCUGUGUACCUGGUCAAAUAGAAUGACUUUCCCCAAUGAAGGAGGACUUUUCUUUCAUCAAAAGUAUAUGAGUAGCUACUACCCCCUGCUAAAACCUCUCAAACAGCUCUCAAGGUCCAUUUGCAAGAGAAUGUAGCAUAGUAAAGCUUCCAAGACUCCAGACACAUCCAAAUGGGGCACUGCAUGUGGCAGUCUGCCUUUCUUU
This is an unclassified non-coding RNA of Panthera pardus (leopard), 330 nucleotides long. Its record names the gene 7SK. It matches the Rfam family "7SK RNA". From Rfam's summary of the family: 7SK was discovered as an abundant small nuclear RNA in the mid-70s but a possible function has only recently been suggested. Two independent studies have found that 7SK RNA binds the CDK9/cyclin T complex (known as elongation factor P-TEFb). The record is from Ensembl. Lineage: Eukaryota; Metazoa; Chordata; Mammalia; Carnivora; Felidae.